CAUAGAUUCCUAUAGAGACUCUUUGCCUGUCCUGUCCUGUUGUCAUCCAUAGUCCUCAUAGCCACUCGUUCAUUCAGACUGAGACAGGGACCAGAGGUUCAUCCUGGAGUCAGUGGAGCACACAGCAGCAGCACUGCUCAACCUCAGCGCCAACAUGUUGUAUCUGGAGACGGGGACGCCCACGUCGUACAGCGAGUCACAGUACACCAACCUGGGGCUGCUGAACAGCAUGGAUCAGAACAUCCAAAAUGGCGGCUCUACCUCCACCAGUCCCUACAACAACGACCAUGUCCAGAACAACGUGUCCGCUCCUUCACCCUACGCCCAGCCCAGCUCCACCUUCGACGCCAUGUCCCCCUCCCCGGCUAUCCCCUCCAACACAGACUACGCCGGGACACACAUCUUCGACGUCUCCUUCCAGCAGUCCUCCACAGCCAAGUCUGCCACCUGGACGUACUCUACAGAGCUGAAGAAGCUGUACUGUCAGAUCGCCAAGACGUGUCCCAUCCAGAUCAAGGUGCUGACCAACCCCCCGCAGGGCGCCGUCAUCAGAGCCAUGCCCGUUUACAAGAAGGCAGAGCACGUCACCGAGGUGGUCAAACGCUGCCCCAACCACGAGCUCAGCCGCGAGUUCAACGACGGUCAGAUAGCCCCUCCCAGUCACCUGAUCCGAGUGGAGGGUAACAGCCACUCCCAGUAUCUGGAGGACUCCAUCACGGGCCGUCAGAGUGUGCUGGUCCCCUACGAGCCCCCCCAGGUGGGCACAGAGUUCACCACCAUACUGUAUAACUUCAUGUGCAACUCCAGCUGCGUAGGAGGCAUGAACCGACGCCCUAUCCUCAUCAUCGUCACCCUGGAAGCCAGAGAUGGUCAGGUGCUGGGUCGGCGCUGCUUCGAGGCCAGGAUCUGUGCGUGUCCUGGCCGGGACCGCAAGGCGGACGAGGACAGCAUCCGCAAGCAGCACGUUACUGAUGGAACAAAGAGCAGUGAGGGUAUGAAACGCCCCUUCCACCAGGUCUCUCAUGGUAUCCAGAUGUCCUCCAUCAAGAAGAGAAGAUCCACAGAUGAGGAAGUGUUCUGUCUGCCUAUUAAAGGCCGUGAAAUCUAUGAGAUUUUGGUGAAAAUCAAAGAGUCUCUGGAACUCAUGCAGUUUCUGCCUCAGCACACUGUAGAGUCAUACAGGCAACAGCAGCAGAACCUUCUGCAGAAACAUCUGCUUAAAGCCCGGCUACGUUCAGAGCUCCUGGAACCCCUAGCGGCAGAGCAGAGGAGACGAUGCAGUACCUCCUGAGACUCACCUCAUCCUCACAUUCCUCCUCCCUUCAGUUUCCUCGCUCCUCAGCCACAAUCAGAUUAGGGGCUCCUCUAUCUUGCUCUCUCUCUCUCUCCCUCUUUCAGGGCUCUUUCUAAUAUUCUCUCUCCUCCCUCCCUCUAUUUCUACCUCUCUGUCUCUCCUUCCUUCUCUAAGAUUCUGCCGUUAUUGAAACUCUCACAUUCUCCAAACAGAGUUAAAUAAACAGAUAAACAGUCUGUUGGUGCUUCAUGUUCAUGAAAUAAAACAUUUUUUUUCCUAUUCAUUACUUAUGUGUAACACAUAAUAUGUUAAAAGUUGAGUCUGUCUGGCAAGUACUCUGCAUACCAGUCUACUGAUAAGAUGCAGUCACAUUAGAAAAGUCAGAUAUUAAGAAGUUUUGCAUGACAGAUUUUUACAUUUUUUUUAAAUAAGAAACUUUGUAGCUGUGUGGCAACACCAGUCGCAAACAGCAGAGGGCGCUUUUGAGUUAUUCAAAAUUCAGUUUGUUUCAUUAAAAUGUUUUACAUUGAGUCAUUUAGCAGACGCUCUUAUCCAGAGCGACUUACAGUAGUGAGUGUAUACAUUUUCAUUUUUUUUUCUCAUAUUGGUCCUACGCGGGAAUCGAACCCACAACCCUGGCGUUGCAACCGCCAUGCUCUACAGCCUGUGUCACACGGGAACCCUAUGGUCAGCGAUUAGGCUAUACAGCACAUAACCUAUAUCCUGUUUAAAGCACCAUUCAUGUCUUUGGUUGCUUUUUAAGAUUGUGUUGCUGAUGGUCAAAAUGACGCUAGUAAUUGAGUUAUGGAUACAGUCUACUUGUAUUGCAGUCAGAACACGUGCAUAGUAUCCCCCUCUCGGCUGACCUCUCCUCCUAUUGGCUGGGGCUGGUCAGGAACCAAGCACUAGUGUUUUUCUUACAAGACUUCACUUGUCUAUGGAUUGAGCUUUUGUUGUUUUGUCUUUGGAGCUGGACUCAAACCUAACGGUGUGUGCCCCAUGAUACCCUAUUCUCUAUAUAAUUACUAUUUUUAACCAGAGCCCCGUGGCAGUCCUAGGUAGAGCCCCGUGGCAGUCCUAGGUAGAGCCCCGUGGCAGUCCUAGGUAGAGCCCCGUGGCAGUCCUAGGUAGAGCCCCGUGGCAGUCCUAGGUAGAGCCCCGUGGCAGUCCUAGGUAGAGCCCCGUGGCAGUCCUAGGUAGAGCCCCGUGGCAGUCCUAGGUAGAGCCCCGUGGCAGUCCUAGGUAGAGCCCCGUGGCAGUCCUAGGUAGAGCCCUGUUGGCAGUCCUAGGUAGAGCCCUGUUGGCAGUCCUAGGUAGAGCCCUGUGGCAGUCCUAGGUAGAGCCCUGUUGGCAGUCCUAGGUAGAGCCCUGUUGGCAGUCCUAGGUAGAGCCCUGUGGCAGUCCUAGGUAGAGCCCUGUGGCAGUCCUAGGUAGAGCCCUGUUGGCAGUCCUAGGUUGGCAGUCCUAGGUAGAGCCCCGUGGCAGUCCUAGGUAGAGCCCCGUGGCAGUCCUAGGUAGAGCCCCGUGGCAGUCCUAGGUAGAGCCCCGUGGCAGUCCUAGGUAGAGCCCCGUGGCAGUCCUAGGUAGAGCCCCGUGGCAGUCCUAGGUAGAGCCCCGUGGCAGUCCUAGGUAGAGCCCCGUGGCAGUCCUAGGUAGAGCCCUGUGGAUCCUGGUCAAAAGUAGUUCAUAACAAAAGGAAUAGGGUGCCAUUUGGGACUCAGUAGUGUUAUGGGGAGAGGUGCCAUUUGGGAGGCACAUCAGUAGUGUUAUGGGGAGAGGUGCCAUUUGGGAGGCACAUCAGUAGUGUUAUGGGGAGAGGUGCCAUUUGGGAGGCACAUCAGUAGUGUUAUGGGGAGAGGUGCCAUUUGGGACUCAGUAGUGUUAUGGGGAGAGGUGCCAUUUGGGACUCAGUAGUGUUAUGGGGAGAGGUGCCAUUUGGGACUCAGUAGUGUUAUGGGGAGAGGUGCCAUUUGGGACUCAGUAGUGUUAUGGGGAGAGGUGCCAUUUGGGACUCAGUAGUGUUAUGGGGAGAGGUGCCAUUUGGGACUCAGUAGUGUUAUGGGGAGAGGUGCCAUUUGGGACUCAGUAGUGUUAUGGGGAGAGGUGCCAUUUGGGAGGCACAUCAGUAGUGUUAUGGGGAGAGGUGUAUAAUCACUGUGAUCAUGCUGGUCAUGUUGUAUACGGUCACUGCAGGACAGUUUGUUUUGUUGUUUUUGUUUAAUUUUCUGAAAGAUAUUUAGCAUUUAUUUAGGAUUGACAGAUUCAUGACACACACGUGCCUUUAUGUACAGAGAGCAGAUUCUACGGAGAACUUUCUUUUUGACUGUUUGAAACAGAGUGUAGUGAUGCAUGGCUGUUGCGGUUCGUUUGGUCUGUCAGAACUCAAUAAAUGUAUUUUCUGCUUUGA
Molecule: RNA transcript, 3701 nt
Organism: Oncorhynchus keta (chum salmon)
Lineage: Eukaryota; Metazoa; Chordata; Actinopteri; Salmoniformes; Salmonidae
Gene: tp63
Gene name: tumor protein p63
Exons: 12
Source: RefSeq, a predicted model, not a curated record